UGGUGGCCUCUGUGCGCCGUCUGCACUCGUUGCAGGCGACGAUGCAGAGGGCUGUAAGUGUGGUGGCCCAUCUGGGCUCUCGCCUGCAGGCAUUCUCCCCGGCCUUGUGUCGUCCAUUUAGUUGCGCACAGGACACCGCUGUAUGACUUCCACCUGGCCCACGGCGGGAAAAUGGUGGCGUUUGCGGGUUGGAGUCUGCCAGUGCAGUACCGGGACAGUCACACUGACUCGCACCUGCACACACGCCAGCACUGCUCGCUCUUUGACGUGUCUCAUAUGCUGCAGACCAAGAUACUUGGUAGUGACCGGGUGAAGCUGAUGGAGAGUCUAGUGGUUGGAGACAUUGCAGAGCUAAGACCAAACCAGGGGACACUGUCGCUGUUUACCAACGAGGCUGGAGGCAUCUUAGAUGACUUGAUUGUAACCAGUACUUCUGAGGGCCACCUGUAUGUGGUGUCCAACGCUGGCUGCUGGGAGAAAGAUUUGGCCCUCAUGCAGGUAUACCCCCUCUGUGUUCUAGGCACCUUGUCUUCCUUGUUCAUAGAGCAGCAUCCUUGUUAUCCAAGACAGGGUUGGCACAGACAAAGGACCUGGAAAAUGGCUCUUUCAGUGAAUGAACAGCUAUGAGACUCAAGAGCAGGCCCUCUCUGGAGCAUGCCAGGGUUUGGUGGUGGGGGAUUACCAGGCAUGGGGAGGGGGUCUUGGCCCCUCUGGUGUGAGGUGGCAGACCUGGGCUUGGGUCAUCUCUAUCACUUAGUAGCUAUGUGACCUUGUAAGAUGGGAACCAGCCUACUACCUUUUUUUCCUCCCUCCUCCUCCUCCUCUCCACUGUCUUACUACUGUCCAGCUCUGCAGCGUCCAGCCCAUGGUAGCUGCUCAGUAAGUGGCCCCAGAUGCUCUUGUGUUUCUGUCUUUUAGGACAAGGUCAGGGAGCUUCAGAACCAGGGCAGAGAUGUGGGCCUGGAGGUGUUGGAUAAUGCCCUGCUAGCUCUGCAAGGUGAGAGGGCUGGGCUGGGGUUGGAGCCAACCUUUGCCUUCCUGGCUUUAUUGACUGCUUAGCACAGAGGCCAUACCAAGAAGAAGGUGUGGAAGGUGUGAUAUUUGUGUGCCAUAAUUUUAAGUUUGGUAUCUUGCCCUCCUCCUACCUACCACAAGGCUCCAUGGGCUAGAGACAAGGGCAUCUUCUCCCACUUGCAGAGUAAGACGUGCUCAGGGCUUGUUCUAGUCCCUGAAUAAGGCUUUAGUCCAGGUUUGAGGGAUGCUGGGACCUGGAUACUUGGUCACUGGCUCCCUGGGCCCAGGCCCCACUGCAGCCCAGGUACUACAGGCCGGCGUGGCAGAUGACCUGAGGAAACUGCCCUUCAUGACCAGUGCUGUGAUGGAGGUGUUUGGCGUGUCUGGCUGCCGUGUGACCCGCUGUGGCUACACAGGAGAGGAUGGUGUGGAGGUGUGUCAAGAAGUGGUGUAGGGGGCAGUACAGGGCACAAGAUGCAUGUGAGGGGUUGGGGGUAUGUGGUACAGGGAGCUUCCCAUCUGCCCUCUGGUGUUUCAUACAGAUCUCGGUGCCGGUAGCGGGGGCAGUUCACCUGGCAACAGCUCUUCUGAAAAACCCAGAGGUGAAGCUGGCAGGGCUGGCAGCCAGGGACAGCCUGCGCCUGGAGGCAGGCCUCUGCCUGUACGGGAAUGACAUUGAUGAACACACUACACCUGUGGAGGGCAGCCUCAGUUGGACACUGGGGAAGCGCCGCCGAGCUGCUAUGGACUUCCCUGGAGCCAAAGUCAUUGUUCCCCAGCUGAAGGGCAAGGUGCAGCGGAGGCGUGUGGGGUUGAUGUGUGAGGGGGCCCCCAUGCGGGCACACAGUCCCAUCCUGAACAUGGAGGGUACCAAGAUUGGUACUGUGACUAGUGGCUGCCCCUCGCCCUCUCUGAAGAAGAAUGUGGCGAUGGGUUAUGUGCCCUGCGAGUACAGUCGUCCAGGGACAAUGCUGCUGGUAGAGGUGCGGCGGAAGCAGCAGAUGGCUGUAGUCAGCAAGAUGCCCUUUGUGCCCACAAACUACUAUACCCUCAAGUGAAGCUGGCUCAGGGUGGGGCUGUCCCUUCCAGAAGUUUUGCCCCUACAAGGGGUUAGUCAAGAAGCUGAGGCAGAACUCACUGGGGGUGGGCAGUUAAGGUGGAGGCUGAUUCUAAUUGUCUGGCUGAGGGGCCACACCACCUAUUCCCCCCACCUAACUCAUGCCACUCCAGCUUCCUUCAGGACCCUGCUUCUGAGUGACGGACCAGCUCACACAAUGUCUUGUUUCAGUCCAUGAUCCCACUGACCUACUCUUGCCUGCUGGAGGGUAAUGAGAAGCUUUGGUUCUGCCAUCUCUCCCACUCUGCCAGGUGCUGGCUGUGGAGCAAAGGCUCACCUUUGUGGGGAGGAUAAAACCUGCCCAACCUACCUCACCAUGGUUUUUCACAUUGCAAACGGUAAUAACAUGGGCAGUGUGGACUUAGGCUACCCCCUCCAGUUUGCUUUCCGUAAAUGCAAAUUGUCCCUACUGCAAGUCAGGAAUGAUUGCCGACUCACAGUAGGGCUGCUAUGCCUGUGUGUAAACUUGGGGAUGGCUGAGGGAACACAGACUCACUCUUCCGCAUUCCCAAGUUGGUCUAGUGUGCUGCCCAGUAGCAAACCAUGGCAGGCUCACCACCUAUUCUGAGCUCCAGGGCUGUUGUAGGGCAGGGUGGGCUUCCUCCCAGACUUGCCUUACCCUGGGCUGAUCUUUGCCCCUGGUAUGCAUUAAUGGACUCCACUGAAUCCUGAAAAAAAAUUA
Molecule: small RNA, 2813 nt
Filed under: Pongo abelii (Sumatran orangutan)
Lineage: Eukaryota; Metazoa; Chordata; Mammalia; Primates; Hominidae
Description: retained intron
Source: RNAcentral